AGUAUUCCACAAGGCUGUCCUGCACAGUGGUAAAGAUUGUCCCCGCCCCUGGGGUUCUCUUAGAACACUUACAGCAUGGCAAUUCCCCAGUGCUUUCCGGCUCUCUCUCCUGCUGCCUGGAAACCAGAGAGGCCAAUGAGGGCCACAGUGGGUGUGAUGGUCAAGGGUCCAAUAUACCUCAGCAGAGCCCCAGGCAGGCCAAGGAGGCCAAUGACCACUUCUAUCAAUGAAGACAUGAUGAUAGCCCCCUGGAUCUGAAACAGAAAAGGGUACAGUUUGAGAGUGGUGUCAAACACUUUGAAUGUUACCUGCAAUCACAACUGACAUUUCUUCAAGGCAACAAGUCCUAGCGUACAGCAGCACAACAACUGGGAUACUCCCCAUGGGAUACUCCCCAGGGCCCUCCAAGUAAGGUUUCUGUGGAGAUAACUGAGGACCAGCACACUAACACGGCAUCGCUGCUGAGGUAGCUGAGGACCAGCACACUAACAUGACAUCGCUGCUGAGGUAACUGAGGACCAGCACACUAACACGACAUCGCUGCUGAGGUAACUGAGGACCAGCACACUAACAUGACAUUGCUGCUGAGGUAGCCGAGUACCAGCACACUAACAUGACAUCGCUGCUGAGGUAACUGAGGACCAGCACACUAACAUGAUGUUUCUGCUAUAAGGUUAACUGAAGAAAUGGGGACUGACAACAAAUCUGCUGCUUUCUCCACUGCAGGGUGAGAUGGAUAGAUCUAUCAGCUCUCAGAUGAGCAUGCUGUCAACCCAGUCCUGCGAGAUAUUUCAGUACAGACAUCUUUAAAAGACUAAACCCCUGAAAGACAUUCAAAAAACAGAGUUACUGACAAAACUCUAAAAGAAUGUCCAUGUCACAGAAAGUGACAUUUGUACUAAAUCUAAAGAUUUCAUGGGUGACACUAUGAAUAUAUAUGUACUCAUCAGCUAGUUUGCUGUACCUAGGGACAGCUUUAAUCAGCUCUGCUCAAAUGCACUUUGGCCUCCAAAAUUAUCUUUAGUUCUUUCAACAAGCAGGCAUGACUAACAGCUUGCUUGUUCUGAGAUGCCUGUGUUAGUAAGGCUCACCUCUGGGUGUGUCUGUCAUGUUGCUUCCAGAGACAAGCAGUUAAUGGAUGGCUCCUAAGAUGAACACAUUAUUAAGAGAUGGGACCUAGCUGGAGGAAGUGAUACUGCAAUGUGUGUCUGGGAACUCUAUCUUGCCCUGGUCCCUUCUUGUGUUCCUCACUCUCUUCCUGGCUGCCAUGAGCUGAACUAUGACCUCCCCACCACCACAGACAAAGCCUCGGGCACUGAGCUUUCUCCAUUCAAGCUGUCUUUAGCAUUCUAACACAGCAACAAGGUAGCUAACAACACACAGACACAAAGCAGCCAGACCUCUUCUCCAGCACCAUCACGCUUCAGCCAUCACACUGGAGGACAUAAGCAGGCAGGCCUGGGUACUGACGACAUGAAGCUCAACAGACAGUAGAAAUAGGCAUUCCAGUAGUUGAAAAUAGAAGGUUCCGUAAGGAUCUUUGCAGUCACUACCAAGGGGAAUGAAAGUCACCUGCAGAAAACCACAGUAGCCAGAUCCUUAAAAAGCAAAGAUGUUUGAGAGAAGGGAUGCUGAUGCAGCGAGAGAGUGACUAUGUAUUUACAGUUCCCACACCCAGCACAAUCGAAGUCUGUGUACCGCAAGUUCAGCAUCCUGACAAGGAGACCUCUCAAUACCUACUUGUCACACUGGAACCCAUCCAUCAGGAUGUCCCACUAGGUGAAGAUGCUUAUUUAAGGAUGCUGCCUGUGUGAGCAGGUGCAAACCCAGUCCUGUAACAUCAUCAGGGACAUGCUGCUCCACCAUUCUUCCACCUCCCUUCCAGAGCCCAGGAAGAAGAGCAUGGAUAAAACCGGAAGGAAGAAUAAGAAGGUCUGGGAGAACUAAAAGGUGGUCAGGAAGCUGAAUAUGAUUAAACUGCAUUGUAUACUUGUAUAAAAUUCUCAUCAAAUACACAAAUAAAAAUAAGCAUACUGCUGAGUUCAACACUA
Molecule: long non-coding RNA, 2051 nt
Organism: Mastomys coucha (southern multimammate mouse)
Lineage: Eukaryota; Metazoa; Chordata; Mammalia; Rodentia; Muridae
Exons: 5
Source: RefSeq, a predicted model, not a curated record